UACGUAGGUGGCGAGCGUUGUCCGGAUUUACUGGGCGUAAAGGGAGCGUAGGCGGACUUUUAAGUGAGAUGUGAAAUACCCGGGCUCAACUUGGGUGCUGCGUUUCAAACUGGAAGUCUAGAGUGCAGGAGAGGAGAAUGGAAUUCCUAGUGUAGCGGUGAAAUGCGUAGAGAUUAGGAAGAACACCAGUGGCGAAGGCGAUUCUCUGGACUGUAACUGACGCUGAGGCUCGAAGGCGUGGGGAGCAAACAGGAUUAGAUACCCGUGUAGU
This 271-nucleotide ribosomal RNA is filed under the name uncultured prokaryote. RNAcentral's name for it is "partial 16S ribosomal RNA". It matches the Rfam family "Bacterial small subunit ribosomal RNA", at positions 524 to 794 of the family's 1533-position model. The record is from RNAcentral.